Molecule: ribosomal RNA, 366 nt
Filed under: uncultured eukaryote
Lineage: Eukaryota
Description: partial 18S ribosomal RNA
Rfam family: Eukaryotic small subunit ribosomal RNA
Source: RNAcentral
CAAUAGCGUAUAUUAACGUUGUUGCAGUUAAAAAGCUCGUAGUUGGAUUUCUGGAGGGAGCGUCGGCCCGUAUUUACGAGUGCGUGACGUCUCUGUCCAUCCUUGCGGGAAGGCACGGCAUUGAUUUGGUGUGUCGGAUCGCAUCAUUUACUGUGAAAAAAUUAGAGUGUUCAAAGCAGGCUUUCGCUUGAAUACAUUAGCAUGGAAUAAUAAGAUAGGACUUUGGUGCUAUUUUGUUGGUUGAGCCUAAAGUAAUGAUUAAUAGGGAUAGUUGGGGGCACCUGUAUUGCGUUGUCAGAGGUGAAAUUCUUGGAUUUACGCAAGACAAACAGCUGCGAAAGCGUCUGCCAAGGAUGUUUUCAUUAA